ACAAAUACUUCCAGUCAUUCCAAAAGGUACUAGACAAGAUAUUGUUAAUGUAACCCUUAAUUCUUCAUAUUUGUGGAAUCACUGUCAAGUCUUAAAGCUAACAAAAAAUAUAAGGUUGGAAAGAAAUCAGGUGGAUUCACAUUUGAAUGAUCUUAGACAAUUUUCUGAUUGGAUUUUAGCAAUAGGUGAUGGUAUGAUUGGAAAUUCUGUUGAUGGUAUCGAUAAAGUUCACAUCCCUGAUGAUCUUAUCAUCAAUAAUUGUGACGAUCCAAUUUGUCGAUUGUGGAAAGUACAUAUCCGGAUUUUUUAAGUCAUUGCAGUGAUAUAACAUACCUGCAACAAAGAGGAAUUCAUGCUCCCACUCUUGAUAUGGUUGAAUCAAUCAACGAAUACAUGGUUUCGGUAAACAAUAGUCAACCAAAAAUAUUUUUUAGUUUCGAUACAAUUCGCAUGUCAGACGAUGCUUUUACAGGUUUGGAACACGUACAUACACCUGAAUUUCUAAACACUAUUAAGUGUUCUGGAAUUCCAAAUCAUGUUAUCACUUUGAAAGUGGGUGUCCCAGUGAUGUUAUUGAGAAAUAUAGACCCAUCUUCAGGGCUAUGUAAUGGAACAAGAUUAAUCAUCACUAGACUGGGAAAUCGGGUUAUUGAAGCAAAUAUUUUAUCGGGAAAUAUGGUUGGACAAAAGGUUUUCAUUCCGAGAAUGUCAUUAACUCCAUCUGAUGCAAGAAUACCUUUUAAGUUCCAAUGAAGACAAUUUCCAAUAGUUGUAUCGUUUGCAAUGACGAUAAACAAAAGUCAAGGACAAUCUUUAUCGCAUGUUGGGUUAUAUUUGAAAAAACCGGUGUUCACACAUGGCCAGCUUUACGUUGCUCUAUCACGGGUUACAAAAAGAAAGGGAUUAAAGAUUUUGGUUUAUGAUGAUGAUGGAGAAAUUUCAAAUGAAGCGAUAAAUGUGGUUUACAAAGAGGUUUUCCGUAAUUUACUUGGAGAAUGAAAGGAAAUCUGAUACCUUUUAGCCAACUUUUUGUUCUCAUGCAUCGGUCUUUUGGAAAACCAUAUUGUAAAUAAUCUUCAGAAACAAUACUUGCCAACUUCAAUAGUUGCUGCUGUGAAAGUUAUUAAUACUCGAUCAUGUGCCGGAAACAAACUUCCAAAGCAGGCAUGUCAUUUAGCUUCCUCGACUAUGCAUCUCGGUUCAAUUUAAACAAGAGCAAUUGUAAUUGUAAAAGCUAACAAUCAUCUUGGACAGCAUGGGAUCAUUCGAAAACACAUCCAUUUAUGCACCUGUUUUUGUUAACUUACCAUCCUCAUCAAGGGAAACAAGCGCAAACAACAGAUGCAGGCCUUUAAGUAGACUUUCAGUUGCUGUACUCUACAUGAAGUAAAAGUGCAUCAAGUAUUUAAUCCCUUGACUAUGUGCAGUGUAUAACAGGAAGCACUUUCCAUUCGCUGUUUGUCCUGAUCGAGCAGAACUUUGGUUUUCAGACGUCGUGGAUAUGGGAGCGACCAUCAAUGACUCGGUUCCUUUCCGAGGGCGAUCGUAUACAUGCUUCUAUUGGCAAGUCUGUUUUGCAUAUUUUCAACAAAAUAAUUAAUGAGCUUGGAUUAUUUCUUAUGGCGAACUUUAUCGUCUGCCAAAACAAGGAGAGGUUCAACACC
Molecule: non-coding RNA, 1664 nt
Organism: Nicotiana tabacum (common tobacco)
Lineage: Eukaryota; Viridiplantae; Streptophyta; Magnoliopsida; Solanales; Solanaceae
Source: RefSeq, a predicted model, not a curated record